This 208-nucleotide long non-coding RNA is filed under the name Mustela putorius furo (domestic ferret). Its description in RNAcentral is "lncRNA (ENSMPUG00000024350.1)". Lineage: Eukaryota; Metazoa; Chordata; Mammalia; Carnivora; Mustelidae. The record is from RNAcentral.
CCCUUGGGUGGUCUUUCUAUUUAAAUCAGGGAAACGGAGCUAGAUCUCCCAAAUGCACUUGGAUCUUGUGUUUGAGAAAAAUCAACAACCCAGUACCAGAUGCAAGUCACAUGAAAGUGCCCCCAAAGCACAGAGAGAGAGAGGGAGAGGGAGGAGCACAACACCCGGCUGAUCCCAGGAGCACAACACCCGGCUGAUCCCAGGACCC